UGAUUGGUUGUUGUCAUAGUAACACGUCACGGUGCUAUUUGAAAGCUGUUGUUGUUCAGUUCAGUUCACGAGGUGCAUGCGGUUGCUUGCAUUAAACGUAUAAACUGUUAAAUUAGAUGGCGACUCUGCAUUAAACGUAUUUAUUUAAUUAAUCGGCGAUCAUGUUUCACCAGAGGACUUAGAUAAAACAACUCGAUUUAAAAUGUGAGCAGUUUUAGUGCAUCUGACGUCGCUUUUUGUUUGGAGAUGAACGAGACAACACGAGGCACAGCGACAUAAAUAUGCCCAACCAGAGCCAAGUAGACAGGAACAAAUGAAGAUACAGCGCAUAGAAAUACUUAUUAUUGGUGAUCAACUGCUAUUGACAUUUUUGAAUCGGGACAAAUGUGGAGUGAUUCAGAAGAAAAACGUUUGCAACACAUCCAUUCCAGAGUGCUGUGACAGAUAAAACUGACACGGUUGAUGAGGACACAGUCAAAGCUUUAAAAGACCGUGCGAUAAAGCGGUCUUCAAUUACUAAGGUGUCUGAAUUGCAAGAAGAAGUGACCCUCCACUUAAACAUGUGACAUCUAAACUGUUUUGUGUUUUGGUUCAGCUUUUUAUAGGUUUAUCUUAAGUUGGUUAAAGGCGGAGUGCACAAUUUUUGAAAGCCAAUGUUAACAUUUGAAAUUACCUAAACAAAUAAGCCUCUACUCCAAUAGAAUCUGGACCUUCUUUUGAUAGACCCACCACACACAUACGCAACCCCGGCAAGGAUGUCGGUUAGUAGACACGCCCCUUACUGCUGGUUGGCUACAAGUGUGUUUUGGUAGUCGCCCCAUUUCCUUUUCCAAAGUGUUUUUCAAACAUUGUGCACUCUGCCUUUAAAUUGCACUUAAACAUUUUUUUUUCAGUAACUUUUUAAGCAGAGAAUUACAUUAUGAUUAUUAUAUAAUCAUUGCUUAUGCCUAUUUAGUGAUUGCAUAUUCAUAGUGUACUUUUCAUUAAUACAUUUAAUGUUAAUGUUGUACAAUUUGAUAGAAGUAGCUCUGUAAUUGCAUUUCUCUGAUAUUUGUUUUAUAUUGUUUCUCUUUGGUCAAUAGAUUAUGUAUGUCUCUGUGCUUGAUUAAUUUACUUUAGAUAUUUUUGUAAUGUACACAACACAAUAUGAAGUAUAUUAAAUUGUUCUGUAUUCAAAA
This is a non-coding RNA of Misgurnus anguillicaudatus (oriental weatherfish), 1178 nucleotides long. The record is from RefSeq and is a predicted model, not a curated record. NCBI's taxonomy places the organism in Eukaryota, Metazoa, Chordata, Actinopteri, Cypriniformes, Cobitidae.